CCUGGCUCACGAUGAACGCUAGCUACAGGCUUAACACAUGCAAGUCGAGGGGCAGCAUGGUCUUAGCUUGCUAAGGCCGAUGGCGACCGGCGCACGGGUGAGUAACACGUAUCCAACCUGCCGUCUACUCUUGGACAGCCUUCUGAAAGGAAGAUUAAUACAAGAUGGCAUCAUGAGUCCGCAUGUUCACAUGAUUAAAGGUAUUCCGGUAGACGAUGGGGAUGCGUUCCAUUAGAUAGUAGGCGGGGUAACGGCCCACCUAGUCUUCGAUGGAUAGGGGUUCUGAGAGGAAGGUCCCCCACAUUGGAACUGAGACACGGUCCAAACUCCUACGGGAGGCAGCAGUGAGGAAUAUUGGUCAAUGGGCGAGAGUCUGAACCAGUCAAGUAGCGUGAAGGAUGACUGCCCUAUGGGUUGUAAACUUCUUUUAUAAAGGAAUAAAGUCGGGUAUGGAUACCCGUUUGCAUGUACUUUAUGAAUAAGGAUCGGCUAACUCCGUGCCAGCAGCCGCGGUAAUACGGAGGAUCCGAGCGUUAUCCGGAUUUAUUGGGUUUAAAGGGAGCGUAGAUGGAUGUUUAAGUCAGUUGUGAAAGUUUGCGGCUCAACCGUAAAAUUGCAGUUGAUACUGGAUAUCUUGAGUGCAGUUGAGGCAGGCGGAAUUCGUGGUGUAGCGGUGAAAUGCUUAGAUAUCACGAAGAACUCCGAUUGCGAAGGCAGCCUGCUAAGCUGCAACUGACAUUGAGGCUCGAAAGUGUGGGUAUCAAACAGGAUUAGAUACCCUGGUAGUCCACACGGUAAACGAUGAAUACUCGCUGUUUGCGAUAUACUGCAAGCGGCCAAGCGAAAGCGUUAAGUAUUCCACCUGGGGAGUACGCCGGCAACGGUGAAACUCAAAGGAAUUGACGGGGGCCCGCACAAGCGGAGGAACAUGUGGUUUAAUUCGAUGAUACGCGAGGAACCUUACCCGGGCUUAAAUUGCAGAUGAAUUACGGUGAAAGCCGUAAGCCGCAAGGCAUCUGUGAAGGUGCUGCAUGGUUGUCGUCAGCUCGUGCCGUGAGGUGUCGGCUUAAGUGCCAUAACGAGCGCAACCCUUGUUGUCAGUUACUAACAGGUUCCGCUGAGGACUCUGACAAGACUGCCAUCGUAAGAUGUGAGGAAGGUGGGGAUGACGUCAAAUCAGCACGGCCCUUACGCCCGGGGCUACACACGUGUUACAAUGGGGGGUACAGAGGGCCGCUACCACGCGAGUGGAUGCCAAUCCCCAAAACCUCUCUCAGUUCGGACUGGAGUCUGCAACCCGACUCCACGAAGCUGGAUUCGCUAGUAAUCGCGCAUCAGCCACGGCGCGGUGAAUACGUUCCCGGGCCUUGUACACACCGCCC
Molecule: ribosomal RNA, 1382 nt
Filed under: uncultured bacterium
Lineage: Bacteria
Description: bacterial SSU rRNA
Rfam family: Bacterial small subunit ribosomal RNA
Source: RNAcentral